GUGGGGAAUAUUGGACAAUGGGCGAAAGCCUGAUCCAGCCAUGCCGCGUGAGUGAUGAAGGCCCUAGGGUUGUAAAGCUCUUUCGACGGGGACGAUAAUGACGGUACCCGUAGAAGAAGCCCCGGCUAACUUCGUGCCAGCAGCCGCGGUAAUACGAAGGGGGCUAGCGUUGCUCGGAAUCACUGGGCGUAAAGGGUGCGUAGGCGGAUCUUUAAGUCAGGGGUGAAAGCCUGAGGCUCAACCUCAGAAUUGCCUUUGAUACUGAAGAUCUUGAGACCGGAAGAGGUAAGUGGAACUGCGAGUGUAGAGGUGAAAUUCGUAGAUAUUCGCAAGAACACCAGUGGCGAAGGCGGCUUACUGGUCCGGUUCUGACGCUGAGGCACGAAAGCGUGGGGAGCAAACAGGAUUAGAAACCCUAGUAGUCC
RNAcentral lists this ribosomal RNA (425 nucleotides) under uncultured bacterium. RNAcentral's name for it is "bacterial SSU rRNA". It matches the Rfam family "Bacterial small subunit ribosomal RNA", at positions 354 to 796 of the family's 1533-position model. The record is from RNAcentral.